Molecule: long non-coding RNA, 601 nt
Filed under: Mus pahari (shrew mouse)
Lineage: Eukaryota; Metazoa; Chordata; Mammalia; Rodentia; Muridae
Description: predicted gene 16126 (MGP_PahariEiJ_G0002308.1)
Source: RNAcentral
GAGGGCUUGCUGUAGCUGCUCUGAGCAGAGAGACUCAGAGAGAGGUUACCACCACAAACUAAAUGAUCUGCACUUGGAGUAGUGGUCACCUCACAAGCUUCUUAAGGACUAUCCAACUCUCUGAGGAUGGAAACCAUGACUUGUCCCUGUACCCAAAGGGCAGCAAAAUGGAGCACCUACCUAGACAAGUGACUCAAUGAAUUGUGGUGAAUGCUUAUAUAAGAGCUAACAGGCUGUGGGUCAAGAACUAUGAGAGCCCAUCAUUACAGAUGAGAAUGAACACUCUUUGUCUUUGCAUAUUAUCUGAGUCUGGGGUCUUCCUUCAGCGAUUUUCAGACCCUUGCAAACCCAAGGAUGUUUUGAACGAUGCUGUGGAUAUUGUGUGGUCUCUCUGUCCAGGACCACGGCACCAUGCUCCAGCCUCUGGGUGUGCUGUCUGCUAAGAUUCCCAGCUGGCUUUUCUCUAGGUCUCUCCACUAGAAGAAGGUUCCAAUCCCUCCCCAGGGAUUGCACCCAAGACUGGUCUGUGCAAGAAUGAAAGCAUCAAUCCCGAUGGAAGAAGACCGAGUUCCAUCUCAGGGUCGUUCAGCUGAAGUGUAUC